GAGUUUGAUCGUGGCUCAGAACGAACGCUGGCGGCAUGCCUAACACAUGCAAGUCGAACGCCCCGCAAGGGGAGUGGCGAACGGGUGAGUAACGCGUGGGAACCUACCCAGCAGUUGGGGAUAACCGCGGGAAACUGCGGCUAAUACCGAAUACGUCCUUAGGGAGAAAGAUUUAUCGCUGUUGGAGGGGCCCGCGUCGGAUUAGCUAGUUGGUGAGGUAACGGCUCACCAAGGCGACGAUCCGUAGCUGGUCUGAGAGGAUGAUCAGCCACACUGGGACUUAGACACGGCCCAGACUCCUACGGGAGGCAGCAGUGGGGAAUAUUGGACAAUGGGGGCAACCCUGAUCCAGCAAUGCCGCGUGAGUGAUGAAGGCCUUAGGGUUGUAAAGCUCUUUUACCGGGGACGAUGAUGACGGUACCCGGAGGAUAAGCCCCGGCUAACUUCGUGCCAGCAGCCGCCGCAGUAAC
Molecule: ribosomal RNA, 470 nt
Filed under: uncultured Alphaproteobacteria bacterium
Lineage: Bacteria; Pseudomonadati; Pseudomonadota; Alphaproteobacteria
Description: bacterial SSU rRNA
Rfam family: Bacterial small subunit ribosomal RNA
Source: RNAcentral